GUGAUCAUGUGACAUUACAGGCAGCUGCAGAUGCGUAUCGGGUGAAAAUAGUAGUCCUAACAUCAUUCAAAGAUACAUGUUACAUCGAAAUUCUUCCUACCUCCCAAGAAUCCAAAGGAGUAAUCUUCUUGAGCUUCUGGGCAGAGGUUCACUACAACGCCAUCUACUUAAACAGAGAUACAUCUGAAACAGAGCUACAGAGGAAGAGAAAAUGGUGGCGUUUCGGAAACUAGACAAGGCCAUGGAUCAUCAUCAGCAACUGGGUUAUAUUAAUAUUUUAUUGACUUGAGAGAGGGAUGUUCUUUGAUAUAGUCCCUUCGUAGAGAGAGAGGAUGAACAGAGCUCAUAGCUUCAAAGUCUUACAAUAAUAUUAUUUUCUUCUUUGAAAGAAAGAAAAUUUAUCUGCCCCAAAAACAGAAUUAACAAAUCAAAUAAAAACAAUACACAACAUUUUGAUCA
Molecule: non-coding RNA, 459 nt
Organism: Camelina sativa (false flax)
Lineage: Eukaryota; Viridiplantae; Streptophyta; Magnoliopsida; Brassicales; Brassicaceae
Source: RefSeq, a predicted model, not a curated record